UUCCAGCCUGGGUGACAGACCAAGAGCCUGUCUAAAAAAAAAACCAAAAAACAAACAAACAAAAAAACUUAAACUUUCUUGCAGAUGAGCAGUCUGUGUUAAAAAAGAAAAAAAAAAAAGAAGGAAAAAGGAUUCAACUUUCUCCCCAGCCAUUUUGCUCUCUCUUCCCCUGCUGCAGCAAUUGUGAAAGCCACGCAUUUAGAUGGUGAAGCCACAAAAUGGAAACAGCCUGGAUCCCUGAGUCACCAGAUGCAGAAACAGCUGCCCUGAAAAGUUGUCCAUCUUGCACUAUACAUGCCCAUGUACGAGAAAUACAAGCCUUUUCUGGCCGGGCGCGGUGGCUCACGCCUGUAAUCCCAGCACUUUGGGAAGCCGAGGCGGGCAGAUCAUUUGAGGUCAGGAGUUCGAGAUCAGCCUGGCCAACAUGGUGAAACCCCGUCUCUACAAAAAAUAUAAAAAUUAGCCAGGCAUGGUGGCAGGCGCUUGUAAUCCCAGCUACUCAGGUGGCUGAGGUAGGAGAAUCGCUUGAACCUGGGAGGCAGUGGUUGCAGUGAGCCGAGAUUACACCAUUGCACUCCAGCCUGGGUGAUAAGAGCAAAACUCUGUCUCAAAAAAAAAAAAAAGGCCUUUUCUGUGGUUAAGAAAUGAGAAUCAAGUUUAAGAUAUUUGAGAUUUUUCUUUUUAUUAUUUUUUUCCUUAGAGGUAAUUGUGGGGUGGAGGUGGGGGUCUUGCUAUCUUGCCCAGGCUGGACUCAAACUCCUGGGUUCAAGCAAUCCUCCAGUCUCAGCCUCCCAAGUAGCUGGGACUAUAGGUACACACUACCACACCAGUUUCUUUGAGAUUUUUGUACAUCGGGAUAUAUAGCUCAUUCUUUUUAAGAUUUGCCAAGUGUUCCAUUGUAUGACUAUAAUAUAUUUAGGAGGUACAUUUCUUUAAUUUAAAUUUUUGAAUUGAUAUUAUAUACCAUAUGGUUUUAAAUUAAAAUGGUUCAAAAAAGUA
Molecule: long non-coding RNA, 999 nt
Filed under: Homo sapiens (human)
Lineage: Eukaryota; Metazoa; Chordata; Mammalia; Primates; Hominidae
Description: HSALNT0382308
Source: RNAcentral